CGUUAAGGUCAGCCAGCUCUGCUCUCCUUCAUACAUACUGGGUUGGAGUUCAAAUCCCGUCAUUCAGGGGCUGUGUGAUUUGGGUUCAGAAGAAGGAUUAUUGGCUAAGGCUGUGGCUAAACGGUAGAACAUUUGCCUAACUCGUGCAAGACCCAGUCCCUGUUCCAACCAACCAACCAACCAACCAACCAACCAACCAACCCUUUGUCAGGUGACUCUCUUAAAUACCCAAAACCCCUAUAGUAUUGAAUAGAAGCAACCCCGGGGCAGGACUUACUUAAUGGCGUAGUUGCAGACCAGGUACACAGCCUGCUGCCAGGUGCUGCCCCACACAUUGAUGCUGCUGCACGUGUGAAUAGCGCAUCCCAGCCGACUGGAGGAGGCCCACACCAUCUGCAGAAGCACAGAGACAGGCAAGCUGAGACUCGAAGGAGCCCUGGGCAGCAACGGACCCCAUUCCAUUGAAAACGCAGCUUCAAAGAGGGAGGCAGCCGCCUGGAGCACAUCGAAAAUACAUCUGGACACCAUGAUUUGACCUGAAGCCAGGCCUGUGUCCCCAGAACAGCAGAACGGAGAGGUUCCUGGUGUCUGUCCCUGACCUA
RNAcentral lists this small RNA (602 nucleotides) under Rattus norvegicus (Norway rat). RNAcentral describes it as "uncharacterized LOC102548241". The record is from RNAcentral. Lineage: Eukaryota; Metazoa; Chordata; Mammalia; Rodentia; Muridae.